CGAACGGAUCCUAUCGGGAUUAGUGGUGGACGGGUGAGUACACGUGGAGAACGUGCCCUUAUGGUUCGGAACAACUCAGUGGAAACUUGAGCUAAUACCUGGAUGUAGCCCUAUCGGGGGAAAGAUUUAUCUGCCACUUGAGAGCUGGCCCUGCGUCUGUAUUACGCUAGCUUGGUGUGGGUAAACGGCCCACCAAGUGCGACGAUCAGUAGCUGGUCUGAGAGGAUGAUCAGCCACAUUGGGACUGAGACACGGACCAAACUCCUACGGGCAGGCAGCAGAGGGGAAUACUAUGCGCAAUGGGCGAAAGCCUGACGCAGCCAUGCCGCGUGAAUGAUGAAGGUCCAUCAGGAUUGUCCACAUUCUUACACCGGGAAACGAUACGGGAAGAGAAACCGGAAGAAGAAGCCCCGGGCUAACAACAAGACCAGCAGACCGAGGACAAACGAAGGGG
This 454-nucleotide ribosomal RNA is filed under the name uncultured Caulobacter sp. Its description in RNAcentral is "bacterial SSU rRNA". It matches the Rfam family "Bacterial small subunit ribosomal RNA", at positions 63 to 533 of the family's 1533-position model. The record is from RNAcentral. Lineage: Bacteria; Pseudomonadati; Pseudomonadota; Alphaproteobacteria; Caulobacterales; Caulobacteraceae.